This 618-nucleotide ribosomal RNA is filed under the name Triticum aestivum (bread wheat). RNAcentral's name for it is "partial small subunit ribosomal RNA". The record is from RNAcentral. Lineage: Eukaryota; Viridiplantae; Streptophyta; Magnoliopsida; Poales; Poaceae.
AUGAACCAUGGAAGAUGGAGGAGGAAGCAGGACCCUCCAUCCCAUAUCUGUACCGGUCGCGAGAUAAGAUGUGUGGUCGUUAACGGGGUGGUGUACUUCUUGAUGGACUUCUAUUCCACAUACUUUGAAACUGGGGUUAUAACCAUUGAGUCUGGUAGCGUAGCUUCGUUCAACCUCGAGACAGAAGAGUGGGGUGUUCUACAUGGUCCACAACAGGUGCAGAGGUUUGUGCAGGAAAACGAGGAUUACAGUUACUCAAAACUUGAAAUUGAGUUAUCAUUGGCUGAAUUGAAUGGAUGUUUAGUUAUGGUUCACAAUAUUCAUAACAUAUCUAUGGACUUGUGGUUUUUGACAGAUUUUGAGAAAUGUAUCUGGGUUAAGAAAUACAGCAUGCCAUCACAUGUUGCUAGGCCUUGUAUGUAUCCUUUUCUAAUGUUAGAUGAUGGGAGGAUAUUUUUCAGUGCAGAGGGUUAUCUACAAGGUAUCCUUGGUAGUGGAGAGCCAGGAGAGGGAUUUCUGCGAAGUUAUGAUCCAAGAAAUGACACCUAUCUUGAUUUGUUAAAAUUGGGAGAUUCCAAAUCCAUUGGCAUUUAUACGGGAAGUCUACUGAGUUUAUAG